AGAGUUUGAUCAUGGCUCAGAUUGAACGCUGGCGGCAUGCUUUACACAUGCAAGUCGAACGGUAACGCGGGGGCAACCCUGGCGACGAGUGGCGAACGGGUGAGUAAUACAUCGGAACGUGCCCAGUAGUGGGGGAUAGCUCGGCGAAAGCCGGAUUAAUACCGCAUACGACCUACGGGUGAAAGCGGGGGAUCGCAAGACCUCGCGCUAUUGGAGCGGCCGAUGGCAGAUUAGCUUGUUGGUGGGGUAAAAGCCUACCAAGGCGACGAUCUGUAGCUGGUCUGAGAGGACGACCAGCCACACUGGGACUGAGACACGGCCCAGACUCCUACGGGAGGCAGCAGUGGGGAAUUUUGGACAAUGGGCGCAAGCCUGAUCCAGCAAUGCCGCGUGUGUGAUGAAGGCCUUCGGGUUGUAAAGCACUUUUAGUGGGAACGAAACGGUCCGGGUUAAUACCCUGGACUACUGACGGUACCCGCAGAAUAAGCACCGGCUAACUACGUGCCAGCAGCCGCGGUAAUACGUAGGGUGCAAGCGUUAAUCGGAAUUACUGGGCGUAAAGCGUGCGCAGGCGGUUUUGUAAGACCGAUGUGAAAUCCCCGGGCUUAACCUGGGAACUACAUUGGUGACUGCAAGGCUUGAGUGUGUCAGAGGGAGGUGGAAUUCCGCGUAGCAGUGAAAUGCGUAGAUAUGCGGAGGAACACCGAUGGCGAAGGCAGCCUCCUGGGAUAACACUGACGCUCAUGCACGAAAGCGUGGGGAGCAAACAGGAUUAGAUACCCUAGUAGUCC
Molecule: ribosomal RNA, 791 nt
Filed under: uncultured bacterium
Lineage: Bacteria
Description: bacterial SSU rRNA
Rfam family: Bacterial small subunit ribosomal RNA
Source: RNAcentral